CUGAUGAAACACCUUUCACCUCUGUUAUGAGUGUUAUCGUUGCAUACUUUGACCACCAGAAGGGACUUGUUAACUUCACUGUUGGCAACACACAUUUUUGGAAACACUAACAUAAACAGCUGAUGAUGUUCAGCAGAGCUAAACGGAGAGUAAACGCAUAGCUAUACUGAACAGAUGCUAAUGAAACAUCAGGAAACAUCAGGAAAGUUCAUCCUUGGGAAAGAUGUGAGAAGCUGAGUCAUGUAAGUGUAACUGAACUAUGAACCCUUGAAGUUAGGGACCAUGGAUUUAAUCCAGUCACAGCCAUUCAUCUUAACAUCAUUUUCCUUUUUUUUUUUGUUUUCUAGCUUGUCAGCUAUAACAAGAUUUAAUUUUCUCAUUAGACCACAUUUUCUUGUAAAUGAACCAAAUUUGGAAACUAGCAAUUGGUCUUCCUGACUUGUUGUGAGGUAUGAAUCCAUUUAAGUGUGUUAUUGAGAAAUUUUCACAAAAAGUCAUUGCAGGCUCUCCUCAGUGUGUGAACCACCAGGUCCUCUGUUCAGAAUGACUUUAAUCACGAAGUCAACAUUUCAUCCACACAUAACGAAGACAAAUUAAUACUAAAAUCCACCAUCUACCUUCCAGUUAAAGUGUAUUUAAUCACAUCUCACAAAGACUGUUGCCAGCUUGAUGCAGUUCACAACACUCUAGGAAAGUCAGUAUUGUUAACGGUCAAAAGUAAUGGUGGUCAAAUUCAUUUGACCCAGUAUCGCCAUCUCAUCCAUCUGUGUUCCCCAAGGAAGAAGACAUGUGAUUAGGUUAUGUGGUUCAUUAGUUCAUUCCAGUUUACUUCAGUUUGUCAUUAAACUUUGGCACAGGCAUUUUUUCAUUGUUUUUUUUUUUUUUUUUUGUCUUUUAUUUAUUUAGUAACAAUCAUUUUAAAUCAAUUGGUUUGUUGGGGAAACAUUUUAAUCUGUGUUUUAUUUAUUUCCUUUUUAUCAGAACACAAUUUUCUAGAGAUUAUGGGACAUUUGCUUUCUACCACAUUGAGGAUGAUAACUGAUCAUUGUAUUGUAUUUUGACCUUGUGAGCCAAUGUUCCAAGGUAUUACUCAGAGAUUCCUAGAAAAGAUAUCAUGGUAGUAGAUGUUUGACAGCGGUGAAAGCCCUGUUCAACCUUAUCUGCAGCUUAUAAGCUUUUAUGUUUUCAAAUAUGAUUUCUAUUAUUUUAUGGUUCCUCCCUUUUUCUUUUUUCCCCCAACUAGAGUUUAUUACUCAGGCUUUUUUUAAAUUUUAUUUUUAUCAUUGUUUAUCUGUCAAUACAUGUUUGUUUUGUUUGUUUCUUUUGUUUAAUUUAGCUUUGCAGUAUGUAAUUUGUUUACAGAAUUAUGUAGUAAUAAAAAAAUAGAAGGGAUUUAUUUACAGUAGUCUGCAGAAAUCAAGUUUAUUUGUCAACACAGUCUGAACUCUCUUAGCCAUGCUUUGUUGUAAUUUCUUAAAGUAGUCUUCAGAAAUAGUUCUCCAGGCUCCUUGAAGACAUUCAAAGCUCUUCUUUGGAUCUUGGAUGCCUUUCAUUUUGUUCUCUUGUGUCAAGAUGAUCCCACUGUUUCAGUAAUGUUGAGGUUCGGGCUCUGGGGAGGCUGGUCCAUGACUGACAGUGUUCCGCUGUGUAUCAGAUACUUUUCAUCUGCCAUUAAUCGUUUUUUCGGCCUGCCACUUGUUCGAUGGUCCUCAAAUUGUUUAAUUUCCUCAUGUUUUUGCCAAUCUAUGCCAGGUUUUUGGGUUAUAGCAUUUUGGGAAUCACCUAGUUGGGGUAAAAUAUUAUUUUUAUGCCUGACAAACUGUGUUAUCUUUAGCAUUUUUUUUUAUAAGGAAACAAAUUAUGUGUUUUUGUGACAGGAUGCUAGUAUCAAAGUGCAUGCAGGUACAAUUAGUUUUUGCCAAGUUGUCUGUUAUGUAUAGACACAACACUGGUUCAUAUCCUGAGUUAGGCGCCUUCUUUAAUGCUUGAAUGAUUUGUAGGUCAGUGUUAAGAAACUUAACAAACAAACAGAAAAAUCUUCUGGAAAUAGUCAAGCACAAGGACUGGGUUGAAAAUAAGUGAAAAAGCAGCCAAAAAACCCCCACAAAACAUUCUUUGAAAGAUCUUCAGAAAACCUGGAGAACUAUUGCU
Astatotilapia calliptera (eastern happy) is the source of this 2151-nucleotide long non-coding RNA. The record is from Ensembl. Lineage: Eukaryota; Metazoa; Chordata; Actinopteri; Cichliformes; Cichlidae.